UCACACGAUCAGAAAAAUUUAACUGAAUUUGAACCCGCAUAGAAAAAUACAAUUUGCCUUAGUUUCCAAACAAUAAGCUGCAUGUAAUUGAUACGUUUAAAAUAUCACAAACUGUUGCAUUUAUGUCGAACAUUUUGACACCUCAAUCUCUAAACAAUAAAUAACGUUUUAUCAAAGCCAUUGCAAAUUGUUACAGUUUAGUAUUAUGUUCAUAUAUUGUUGAAUGAUAUGAAGUUCAAAGUCGUGAGAAACAGUAACAACAUAAAUCUACCUUCUGGGGAAUGGUUUUUGUUUCUUUUUGUGCAACACAAACACAUGAAUAUUUAACUAUAAACUACUUUUAAGCAACAGUUUGGCAAACAGUUGAAGCGAUACACGCUAGAAAAUUUACACCGUGAUAAAAUUCACAGUAUAUUUUAUAGAAGUUCCAUAUUUUGAAGAAAAAAAAAAUAGAUUUCUCCUCACCCUUGAUAGCAAUACUAAAACAAGCACUGCUAUUUUGUUUUUUUUUAAAGAUGUAAAAUCCUUAAAAAAAAACAUAAAAAUAACUACUGUGUAAAAAUUUUAUCAUACACUCUGUUAAAUUUUCCAUGCGUGUUUGUUUUCACGCUGUCUGAAAAAUAGAAAAAUAAAAAACGUCGCGAGUUUGUUAUGUCUGCUCCUGCUAGUUUAUAGUCGUUUUUUCAUUGAAAUGAAAAGCAUACCAUGUUAUUAGAACCGGAUCCGGAAGUGCUGAAAACAGCUGCCGUUUUUGCUUCGGUCGGAACGGUGAUAAGCGGAAGAACCGGGACGGAAUGAUGAUGAUGCCGCGCAGCUUGGAUUGCAACUUAUCAAACCAGUGUCCCGAGCUCCUACAUUUAAAUGCUAGUGAUUAAAUUAUGAAUAAUAAUAGUUUUAGUUCUACAAUUCUAGUUGAUCAUUUUCAAUAGCGAAUAAUGAAACAAGUAGUGCGUGUGGGCUGAACUCAUUUCAAACAAAAAAAUUGAUUAUAAAGUGAUAACAAGUUAUUCGUGAUCAAUCUUGAUUCCAUAGGUUUUAAUUAAAACUAAGUUUUUCCACACUUAUUUCCUUGUUUCAUUGCCUCUUCUAAGAAAUAUCCCCGUUCUUUUUUAAAUGGUAUAAAUGUAAUAGAACAGUUCAGCUUACGUU
Long non-coding RNA from Aedes aegypti (yellow fever mosquito), 1149 nucleotides. RefSeq lists it as uncharacterized. The transcript has 2 exons. The record is from RefSeq and is a predicted model, not a curated record. Lineage: Eukaryota; Metazoa; Arthropoda; Insecta; Diptera; Culicidae.